UGCGCGUGAGUGAUGAAGGCCUUAGGUUGUAAAGCUCUUUUACCAGGAAAGAUAAUGACAGUACCUGGAGAAUAAGCUCCGGCUAACUCCGUGCCAGCAGCCGCGGUAAUACGGAGGGAGCUAGCGUAGUUCGGAAUUACUGGGCGUCAAGCGCACGUAGGCGGUUACUCAAGUCAGAGGUGAAAGCCCGGGGCUCAAACCCGGAACUGCCUUUGAAACUAGGUAACUAGAAUCCUGGAGAGGUGAGUGGAAUUCCGAGUGUAGAGGUGAAAUUCGUAGAUAUUCGGAAGAACACCAGUGGCGAAGGCGGCUCACUGGACAGGUAUUGACGCUGAGGUGCGAAAGCGUGGGGAGCAAACAGGAUUAGAUACCCUGAAUAA
This 380-nucleotide ribosomal RNA is filed under the name uncultured archaeon. RNAcentral's name for it is "bacterial SSU rRNA". It matches the Rfam family "Bacterial small subunit ribosomal RNA", at positions 396 to 793 of the family's 1533-position model. The record is from RNAcentral.